UACGAAGGGGGCUAGCGUUGUUCGGAUUUACUGGGCGUAAAGCGCACGUAGGCGGAUCGUCAAGUCAGGGGUGAAAUCCUGGAGCUCAACUCCAGAACUGCCUUUGAUACUGGCGAUCUUGAGUCCGGAAGAGGUGAGUGGAACUCCUAGUGUAGAGGUGGAAUUCGUAGAUAUUAGGAAGAACACCAGUGGCGAAGGCGGCUCACUGGUCCGGUACUGACGCUGAGGUGCGAAAGCGUGGGGAGCAAACAGG
Molecule: ribosomal RNA, 253 nt
Filed under: uncultured bacterium
Lineage: Bacteria
Description: partial 16S ribosomal RNA
Rfam family: Bacterial small subunit ribosomal RNA
Source: RNAcentral